AUGAGUUACAAGCCGUUGCCCCGAAGGACGGAGUGGCCAGAUAGCGUUAUCAAAAAGUGCCCAGAGCUGGCCGCAUGCUAUUAUGCCACUAGGGCCAACACGGAUGAGGUCGCGGAGGACAUGCAACGGAGGAUGCUCGAGACACAGAAAGACUACAGGCAACAGCUGAAAACCAAGGGCAUAGUCACCUACGAGGAGGAGGUUGAUGAGGACUACGACGAAGACGAAGACUACGCUCCAUUGCAUCCACCGGGUCGGUGGAGGCACCGACCUGGCGUCAUGAAAAAUCGCCAAGGAGAGACUAGGAGGCUGAAUUAA
Molecule: ribosomal RNA, 318 nt
Filed under: Triticum aestivum (bread wheat)
Lineage: Eukaryota; Viridiplantae; Streptophyta; Magnoliopsida; Poales; Poaceae
Description: partial small subunit ribosomal RNA
Source: RNAcentral